RNAcentral lists this ribosomal RNA (253 nucleotides) under uncultured bacterium. RNAcentral's name for it is "partial 16S ribosomal RNA". It matches the Rfam family "Bacterial small subunit ribosomal RNA", at positions 524 to 776 of the family's 1533-position model. The record is from RNAcentral.
UACGAAGGGUGCUAGCGUUGUUCGGAAUCACUGGGCGUAAAGCGCGCGCAGGCGGCUUGCCAAGUCAGAGGUGAAAUCCCGGGGCUUAACCCCGGAAUUGCCUUUGAAACUGGCAGGCUAGAGUACUGGAGGGGAGUGGGGAAUUCCUAAUGUAGCGGUGAAAUGCGUAGAUAUUAGGAGGAACACCGGUGGCGAAGGCGCCACUCUGGACAGUAACUGACGCUGAGGCGCGAAAGCGUGGGGAUCAAACAGG